AAAGUUGGUUGCCAACCGAGAUAUAAAAUCCACAGAAAAAGAAGAUACACAGUCCGCGACUCAUAGAAACGGUGGCUUUGCAGUGUAUGGAUAUAGCACAUUUUUGUACAGCCCAUUGAAACGAAAUCCCCAUAAGGACAGUAUUGUAAAUUAAUUUUGUAUCCCCAAGGAGAAAGCUAUCACACAUCUACAACAAGACAUGCAUCCGGCGACUGCUAAGUGGUAUGACAGGCGGGACUCCGUCUACAUCGAGUUCUGCGUAGCGGACAGCAAGGAUGUCAAGAUCAAUUUCGAGGAAGCAAAGUUUGUUUUCAGUUGUCUUGGAGGAACUGAUCAAGUCAAACAUGAGAACGAAGUAGACCUUUUCGAAGGCAUUGAUCAAAAUGAAUCCAUACACAAACGCACAGAUCGGUCAGUGUUGUGCUGUUUAAGAAAAGCUGAACCUGGGAAAGCGUGGCCUAGGCUAACGAAAGAGAAGGCUAAGUUAACUUGGCUCAGCGUCGACUUUAACAACUGGAAGGACUGGGAGGGCGACUCAGACGAGGAACUAGGCAACUUCGAUAAUUUCCCAGAGGGGGGAGAUGGGGAUAUGGCAUUCAACACACAAGAAGCGAUGGCUAAAGUAAGGGCCCUAGGGCAAACUGAACUUGCACUUGAAUGCUGUAUGAAAGGUUGGGCAAAGAUUGUACAAGUAAUAUAUGCCAACAUGAUGAUAUUUGUUUCCGGCUGUUCUGUGUGAUUCUGAUUGCAGAUGAUGAACAACAUGGGAGGGGAAGACUGCCUACCUGAUCUAGAUGAUGUUGAUGAUGACGAGUCUGCAGAUAGUGACGAUGAAAAAAUGCCUGAUUUGGAAUAAAAGGCCUCAAAAUCCAGGAAGUCGGGAUGGAAGGCAGGAGGAAUCAUCAAGACUAUCUUGAAAUAUAAGGCAGUGGGUAAAAACACUGUACAUGAGUCAGUAGCCAUAUUUAAAUCCAGAGCUCUUUUCCAAUCAGUCCACUGAAGGUUAAUGUCUAUAGUGUUGUACGGAGCAGCAGUCUCCACUUCCAUUUGCAGUGCUGCACUCUUGGCAUAUCCUGUUUUACUAUUAAUUGUUACAAGUAAGCAUUCAUGAUUUGUUCUGAAGUACUGUAUAGUAAUCAUCCUCAACCUAGAAAACAAUACAUGUGAAGGCAUUUAUGAGCAGUUGACUAAUGUUAUGAAGUGUAAUUAAACGGACAAAUGUUUUACACCCCCCGCCUCAUGGAUCUGUGUUUGAAGUUAGUUGAUCAGGUUACAAUUUCUGUUUGGUUCCCUCUUGUGAGCUGCCUCCUGUGGCAUAUAGAUAGUGAUCAGAGAAACAGUUAAAAGUUUCAGUACCUUAGCCUUUAAACUUACAUGUUUCCCCUUUCCUCCUCAUCUGUUAAAUCGUUAAAACAGUAUAUCAAUGUUCAUAAGAUUUGAAUGUUCUGAAAUUCUGUCUUAAUGUUCUCGGAUAUACAUUUUAUGGUACCAGUUAUUUUUUACUAAUUCCAUAUUGAUAUUAUCUAACAGCAGAUCACAUGAAGGCAAAAUCAAAGGAGGCUUGAAGCUCGGUUUGGCAAACAUCUGGUUGUUUUUUUUUACUUUCAAGAAUCUUUCCAUCUGUUUAGAGUUGUCAGAGUACAUUACAAUACUCCUGGGUCUUGUGUGGUGAUGGGGGUUAUGACAUGGUAAACCUGUGUAUUGACCAAAUUAAACUUGCACUGUCAAGAAAAUGA
This is a non-coding RNA of Oncorhynchus mykiss (rainbow trout), 1736 nucleotides long. The record is from RefSeq and is a predicted model, not a curated record. NCBI's taxonomy places the organism in Eukaryota, Metazoa, Chordata, Actinopteri, Salmoniformes, Salmonidae.